This 269-nucleotide ribosomal RNA is filed under the name uncultured Pantoea sp. Its description in RNAcentral is "partial 16S ribosomal RNA". It matches the Rfam family "Bacterial small subunit ribosomal RNA", at positions 70 to 339 of the family's 1533-position model. Lineage: Bacteria; Pseudomonadati; Pseudomonadota; Gammaproteobacteria; Enterobacterales; Erwiniaceae. The record is from RNAcentral.
ACAGAGGAGCUUGCUCCUUGGGUGACGAGUGGCGGACGGGUGAGUAAUGUCUGGGGAUCUGCCCGAUAGAGGGGGAUAACCACUGGAAACGGUGGCUAAUACCGCAUAACGUCGCAAGACCAAAGAGGGGGACCUUCGGGCCUCUCACUAUCGGAUGAACCCAGAUGGGAUUAGCUAGUAGGCGGGGUAAUGGCCCACCUAGGCGACGAUCCCUAGCUGGUCUGAGAGGAUGACCAGCCACACUGGAACUGAGACACGGUCCAGACUCC